ACUCCUGCGGGAGGCAGCAGUGGGGAAUUUUGGACAAUGGGGGCAACCCUGAUCCAGCAAUGCCGCGUGAGUGAAGAAGGCCUUCGGGUUGUAAAGCUCUUUUGUCAGGGAAGAAACGGUGGUGGCGAAUAACUACUACUAAUGACGGUACCUGAAGAAUAAGCACCGGCUAACUACGUGCCAGCAGCCGCGGUAAUACGUAGGGUGCAAGCGUUAAUCGGAAUUACUGGGCGUAAAGCGUGCGCAGGCGGUUGUGUAAGUCAGAUGUGAAAUCCCCGGGCUCAACCUGGGAAUUGCAUUUGAGACUGCACGGCUAGAGUGUGUCAGAGGGGGGUAGAAUUCCACGUGUAGCAGUGAAAUGCGUAGAUAUGUGGAGGAAUACCGAUGGCGAAGGCAGCCCCCUGGGAUAACACUGACGCUCAUGCACGAAAGCGUGGGGAGCAAACAGGAUUAGAUACCCCGGUAGUCCCAUGA
RNAcentral lists this ribosomal RNA (474 nucleotides) under uncultured organism. RNAcentral's name for it is "partial 16S ribosomal RNA". It matches the Rfam family "Bacterial small subunit ribosomal RNA", at positions 335 to 800 of the family's 1533-position model. The record is from RNAcentral.